RNAcentral lists this ribosomal RNA (492 nucleotides) under uncultured bacterium. RNAcentral describes it as "partial 16S ribosomal RNA". It matches the Rfam family "Bacterial small subunit ribosomal RNA", at positions 29 to 507 of the family's 1533-position model. The record is from RNAcentral.
AGUGAACGCUGGCGGUAGGCCUAACACAUGCAAGUCGAACGGCAGCACAGUAAGAGCUUGCUCUUACGGGUGGCGAGUGGCGGACGGGUGAGGAAUACAUCGGAAUCUACUUUUUCGUGGGGGAUAACGUAGGGAAACUUACGCUAAUACCGCAUACGACCUACGGGUGAAAGCAGGGGAUCUUCGGACCUUGCGCGAUUGAAUGAGCCGAUGUCGGAUUAGCUAGUUGGCGGGGUAAAGGCCCACCAAGGCGACGAUCCGUAGCUGGUCUGAGAGGCUGAUCGGCCACACUGGAACUGAGACACGGUCCAGACUCCUACGGGAGGCAGCAGUGGGGAAUAUUGGACAAUGGGCGCAAGCCUGAUCCAGCCAUACCGCGUGGGUGAAGAAGGCCUUCGGGUUGUAAAGCCCUUUUGUUGGGAAAGAAAAGCAGCAGGUUAAUACCCCGCUGUUCUGACGGUACCCAAAGAAUAAGCACCGGCUAACUUCGUG